AGAGUUUGAUCAUGGCUCAGAUUGAACGCUGGCGGCAGGCCUAACACAUGCAAGUCGAACGGUAACAGAAAGCAGCUUGCUGCUUUGCUGACGAGUGGCGGACGGGUGAGUAAUGUCUGGGAAACUGCCCGAUGGAGGGGGAUAACUACUGGAAACGGUAGCUAAUACCGCAUAACGUCGCAAGACCAAAGAGGGGGACCUUAGGGCCUCUUGCCAUCGGAUGUGCCCAGAUGGGAUUAGCUAGUAGGUGGGGUAACGGCUCACCUAGGCGACGAUCCCUAGCUGGUCUGAGAGGAUGACCAGCCACACUGGAACUGAGACACGGUCCAGACUCCUACGGGAGGCAGCAGUGGGGAAUAUUGCACAAUGGGCGCAAGCCUGAUGCAGCCAUGCCGCGUGUAUGAAGAAGGCCUUCGGGUUGUAAAGUACUUUCAGCGGGGAGGAAGGGAGUAAAGUUAAUACCUUUGCUCAUUGACGUUACCCGCAGAAGAAGCACCGGCUAACUCCGUGCCAGCAGCCGCGGUAAUACGGAGGGUGCAAGCGUUAAUCGGAAUUACUGGGCGUAAAGCGCACGCAGGCGGUUUGUUAAGUCAGAUGUGAAAUCCCCGGGCUCAACCUGGGAACUGCAUCUGAUACUGGCAAGCUUGAGUCUCGUAGAGGGGGGUAGAAUUCCAGGUGUAGCGGUGAAAUGCGUAGAGAUCUGGAGGAAUACCGGUGGCGAAGGCGGCCCCCUGGACGAAGACUGACGCUCAGGUGCGAAAGCGUGGGAGCAACAGGAUUAGAUACCCUGGUAGUCCACG
This 800-nucleotide ribosomal RNA is filed under the name uncultured bacterium. Its description in RNAcentral is "bacterial SSU rRNA". It matches the Rfam family "Bacterial small subunit ribosomal RNA", at positions 8 to 799 of the family's 1533-position model. The record is from RNAcentral.